This 633-nucleotide ribosomal RNA is filed under the name uncultured fungus. Its description in RNAcentral is "eukaryotic LSU rRNA". It matches the Rfam family "Eukaryotic large subunit ribosomal RNA", at positions 24 to 664 of the family's 3401-position model. The record is from RNAcentral. Lineage: Eukaryota; Fungi.
CCCGCUGAACUUAAGCAUAUCAAUAAGCGGAGGAAAAGAAACUAACAAGGAUUCCCCUAGUAACUGCGAGUGAAGCGGGAAGAGCUCAAAUUUAAAAUCUGGCGCGCCUCUGGUCGUCCGAGUUGUAGUCUGGAGAAGCGUUUUCUGUGUUGGACCGUGUAUAAGUCUCUUGGAACAGGGCGUCAUAGAGGGUGAGAAUCCCGUCUUUGACACGGACUACCAAUGCUUUGUGAUGCGCUCUCAAAGAGUCGAGUUGUUUGGGAAUGCAGCUCAAAAUGGGUGGUAAAUUCCAUCUAAAGCUAAAUAUAGGCGAGAGACCGAUAGCGAACAAGUACCGUGAGGGAAAGAUGAAAAGCACUUUGGAAAGAGAGUUAAACAGUACGUGAAAUUGCUGAAAGGGAAACGCUUGAAGUCAGUCACGUCUGCCAGGACUCAGCCUUGCUUCUGCUUGGUGUACUUUCUGGUUUGAUGGGCCAACAUCAAUUUUGACCGUUGGAGGAAGGCUGUGGGAAUGUGGCACCUUCGGGUGUGUUGUAGCCCAUGGUUGUAUACAGCGGUUGGGAUUGAGGAACUCGGCGCUCUGCGUCCAGGAUGCUGGCAUAAUGGCUUUAAGCGACCCGUCUUGAAACACGG